This 459-nucleotide ribosomal RNA is filed under the name uncultured bacterium. RNAcentral describes it as "partial 16S ribosomal RNA". It matches the Rfam family "Bacterial small subunit ribosomal RNA", at positions 338 to 795 of the family's 1533-position model. The record is from RNAcentral.
CCUACGGGUGGCAGCAGUGAGGAAUAUUGGUCAAUGGCCGGAAGGCUGAACCAGCCAUGCCGCGUGAAGGUCAGUGCCCUAUGGGCGUUAAACCUCUUUUAUGCGGGGAUAAAGGUGUCCACGUGUGGAUGUUUGCAGGUACCGCAUGAAUAAGGACCGGCUAAUUCCGUGCCAGCAGCCGCGGUAAUACGGAAGGUCCGGGCGUUAUCCGGAUUUAUUGGGUUUAAAGGGAGCGUAGGCCGGUCUUUAAGCGUGCCGUGAACUUUUGUGGCUCAACCAUGAGAGUGCGGCGCGAACUGGAGACCUUGAGUGCGCGGAAGGCAGGCGGAAUUCGUGGUGUAGCGGUGAAAUGCUUAGAUAUCACGAAGAACCCCGAUUGCGAAGGCAGCCUGCCGCAGCGUUACUGACGCUGAAGCUCGAAAGCGCGGGUAUCGAACAGGAUUAGAUACCCUUGUAGUC